RNAcentral lists this long non-coding RNA (1360 nucleotides) under Solanum lycopersicum (tomato). Its description in RNAcentral is "partial TCONS_00131488". Lineage: Eukaryota; Viridiplantae; Streptophyta; Magnoliopsida; Solanales; Solanaceae. The record is from RNAcentral.
CCCAGAAACGUCGCAUCAAUUCGGAAAAAAGCUGCAGUCCAAACGUCUCUCUCUUUAUCCUUCCAUAGAAGGAGCCGUUUGAGAAUUGUGAGGUGUCGAAAUCUCGUAGCCUCAUCGGACGGCUUCAACUCUCAAUCCGUUGAGGAAUUGUACUAUUUAUUCAACGGCUUUCUUCAACCUUAUCUCUUUGAAAUUCGACCGUUUUCCCCCUAAAUCAAUCCAUCCUAUAUAAGGGAGAAAUAGAAACAAAAAUACAAUAAAAACAUUAACAAAAGAAUGAAGAGAUGCAAAGGACGACAAAUCGAGAGCUAGUAUGAUUCUCUGGUUGUUAGAGCAGUAGAAGCUUCAUGGUCCUAGUCUCGCUGCUCUGAAGAAGGAAAAAGGUUCAGGACCCUAUAAAUAGAGAAAUGUUCCUUCUAACUUAAUCAGCAUUCACUCUUAGGGGCUUUGAGAGUUUUGGUUAGGGGAAGAUUUUAUGGGUCACAAGUUUGAUAUGUUAUCAUCACUUGUGUGAACCUCCCAUGUAUUCCGAGAGAAUUGGUUGAAGUUGUUUCUCUCUAUAUUUUGUACUCUCAUACUUAUAGUGGAUUGCUCAUCUUCUUUAUGGACGUAGGUCGAUUGACCGAACCACGUUCUUUACUCGUGAUCUUUUGAGGUUUGCUUUGCUAGCUUUCGCAUUUAUACCUACUUAUUUCGGUCCUAACAAGUGGCAUCAAGGCCAGAUUCAAUGAUGGAGUCUGGUUCAGUGGUUCGAUAAUCGAUGAUUGAACCAGGUCAGGGAAAGGUGUUCAUCUUGACGGGUGUAGUUCUAGCCGUAACCUUUUUUUACAGUAAUGAAGAUUUUGUUGGAGAAAUUGUUUUAGAGAAGUUCUCUAUGUUGAGACAUAAACUUUGCAAAGGAGAUGAUUAUGGAGAGGAGAAACAAAUUGUUGAAGAUUAAGUAAAGAAGGUGGACAAAUUUAUUUUGUUAGAAAUUCAGGCAAAGGGGGAUUUGUUGGGUUUUAUUUGCCCUAAAUUUCUUACUAUAAAUAGGUUUUCCUUUUAGGAAAAAUGUUAGUCUCUUAGGCUUUGAGAGUUUUGGUUAGAGGGAGAAUUUGUGGGUCACAAGCUUGAUACGUUAUCACUUGUGUGAACCUCCCAUGUAUUCCGAGUGAAUUGGUUGAGGUUGUUUCUCGUACUCUCAUAUUUAUAGUGGAUUGUUCAUCUCCUUUGCGGACGUAGGUCGAUUGACCGAACCACGUUAAAUUUUUGUGUCUUUUGGUAUAUUUUUCAUUGUUUUCUUACUCGUGAUUUUUCGAGGUUUGCUUUGCUAGCUUCUGCAUUUACAUCUACUUAUUUUCGAUCCUAACAUUACCAAGCU